This 253-nucleotide ribosomal RNA is filed under the name uncultured bacterium. RNAcentral's name for it is "partial 16S ribosomal RNA". It matches the Rfam family "Bacterial small subunit ribosomal RNA", at positions 524 to 776 of the family's 1533-position model. The record is from RNAcentral.
UACGAAGGGGGCUAGCGUUGUUCGGAAUCACUGGGCGUAAAGGGCGCGUAGGCGGCUUUAUAAGUCGGGUGUGAAAGCCUGUGGCUCAACCACAGAAUUGCCUUCGAUACUGUAGAGCUUGAGACCGGAAGAGGUAAGUGGAACUGCGAGUGUAGAGGUGAAAUUCGUAGAUAUUCGCAAGAACACCAGUGGCGAAGGCGGCUCACUGGCCCGGUACUGACGCUGAGGUGCGAAAGCGUGGGGAGCAAACAGG